Molecule: ribosomal RNA, 449 nt
Filed under: uncultured bacterium
Lineage: Bacteria
Description: SSU rRNA
Rfam family: Bacterial small subunit ribosomal RNA
Source: RNAcentral
AGAACGAACGCUGGCGGCAGGCUUAACACAUGCAAGUCGAACGCUCGUAGCAAUACGGGAGUGGCAGACGGGUGAGUAACGCGUGGGAACAUACCCUCCGGUUCGGAAUAGCUCAGGGAAACUUGGAUUAAUACCGGAUACGGCUGAGAGGCGAAAGAUUUAUCGCCGGAGGAUUGGCCCGCGUUCGAUUAGCUUGUUGGUGAGGUAACGGCUCACCAAGGCGACGAUCAGUAGCUGGUCUGAGAGGAUGAUCAGCCUCACUGGGACUGAGACACGGCCCAGACUCCUACGGGAGGCAGCAGUAGGGAAUAUUGGACAAUGGGCGCAAGCCUGAUCCAGCCAUGCCGCGUGGGUGAUGAAGGCCCUAGGGUUGUAAAACUCGUUUCGGCGGGGACGAUAAUGACGGUACCCGCAGAAGAAGCUCCGGCUAACUUCGUGCCAGCAGCCGC